AACGAACGCUGGCGGCAGGCUUAACACAUGCAAGUCGAGCGCCCCGCACGGGGUGCGGCAGACGGGUGAGUAACGCGUGGGGACGUACCCUUAUCUUCGGCCUACCUCCGGGUUACUGGAAUUAUUACCGAAUUUGCCCUUUUGGGGGAAGAUUUAUCGGAUAAGGAUCGGCCCGCGUUGGAUUAGCUAGUUGGUGGGGUAAAGGCCUACCAAGGCGACGAUCCAUAGCUGGUCUGAGAUGAGGAUCAGCCACAUUGGGACUGAGACACGGCCCAAACUCGGACGGGAGGGGGCAGUGGGGAAUAUUGGAGAAUGGGCGCAAGCCUGAUACAGCCAUGCCGCGUGAGUGAGGAAGGGCUUAGGGUUGUAAAGCUCUUUCAGCGGAGAAGAUAAUGACGGUAUCCGGAGAAGAAGCCCCGGCUAACUUCGUG
RNAcentral lists this ribosomal RNA (431 nucleotides) under uncultured bacterium. RNAcentral describes it as "partial 16S ribosomal RNA". It matches the Rfam family "Bacterial small subunit ribosomal RNA", at positions 29 to 507 of the family's 1533-position model. The record is from RNAcentral.